GGAAUAUUGCACAAUGGGCGCAAGCCUGAUGCAGCGACGCCGCGUGUGGGAUGAAGGGGCUACGCCUCGUAAACCACUGUAGCCCGGGACGAAAAACGCCUUAGAGGCGUUAGACGGUACCGGGAAAGUAAGGGUCGGCUAACUACGUGCCAGCAGCCGCGGUAAUACGUAGGACCCAAGCGUUGUCCGGAUUUACUGGGUGUACAGGGUGCGCAGGCGGAUGGGUAAGUCAGGGGUGAAAGUCUGCAGCUUAACUGUAGA
Molecule: ribosomal RNA, 261 nt
Filed under: uncultured bacterium
Lineage: Bacteria
Description: partial 16S ribosomal RNA
Rfam family: Bacterial small subunit ribosomal RNA
Source: RNAcentral